AACGCGAAGAACCUUACCUGGGCUCGAAGCGCAGUGGAAGUCGGCUGAAAGGUCGGUGCCCGCAAGGGCCGCUGCGUAGGUGCUGCAUGGCUGUCGUCAGCUCGUGUCGUGAGAUGUUGGGUUAAGUCCCGCAACGAGCGCAACCCUUAUCUUUAGUUGCCAGGCUGAGUCGCAAGACAAGGCGGCACUCUAAAGAAACUGUCGGCCACAAGCCGAAGGAAGGUGGGGAUGACGUCAAGUCCUCAUGGCCUUUAUGUCCAGGGCUACACACGUGCUACAAUGGGCGGUACAAAGCGUUGCAAACCCGCGAGGGGGAGCCAAUCGCAAAAAACCGCUCUCAGUUCGGAUUGCAGUCUGCAACUCGACUGCAUGAAGCUGGAAUCGCUAGUAAUCGCGGAUCAGCACGCCGCGGUGAAUACGUUCCCGGGCCUUGUACACACCGUACGUC
Molecule: ribosomal RNA, 448 nt
Filed under: uncultured bacterium
Lineage: Bacteria
Description: bacterial SSU rRNA
Rfam family: Bacterial small subunit ribosomal RNA
Source: RNAcentral